Molecule: non-coding RNA, 104 nt
Organism: Glycine soja
Lineage: Eukaryota; Viridiplantae; Streptophyta; Magnoliopsida; Fabales; Fabaceae
Source: Rfam
UUACGAAAGAAUGUUCACGUUCAUGUGUCAUGUUCUGAUUGGACGAUGAAAAUAUUAUUAUUUUUAACGUCCGAUCAAAACGUAAUACAUGUGAGUCAAUGUUC